This 896-nucleotide ribosomal RNA is filed under the name Tyromyces chioneus. RNAcentral's name for it is "partial large subunit ribosomal RNA". It matches the Rfam family "Eukaryotic large subunit ribosomal RNA", at positions 48 to 967 of the family's 3401-position model. Lineage: Eukaryota; Fungi; Basidiomycota; Agaricomycetes; Polyporales; Incrustoporiaceae. The record is from RNAcentral.
AUGCGGGAGCAGACUAACAGGAUUCCCCUAGUAACUGCGAGUGAAGCGGGAAAAGCUCAAAUUUAAAAUCUGGCGGUUUUGGCCGUCCGAGUUGUAGUCUGGAGAAGUGCUUUCCGCGCCGGACCGUGUACAAGUCUCCUGGAACGGAGCGUCAUAGAGGGUGAGAAUCCCGUCUUUGACACGGACUACCGGUGCUUUGUGAUGCGCUCUCAAAGAGUCGAGUUGUUUGGGAAUGCAGCUCAAAAUGGGUGGUGAAUUCCAUCUAAAGCUAAAUAUUGGCGAGAGACCGAUAGCGAACAAGUACCGUGAGGGAAAGAUGAAAAGCACUUUGGAAAGAGAGUUAAACAGUACGUGAAAUUGCUGAAAGGGAAACGAUUGAAGUCAGUCGCGUCGUCCGGAACUCAGCCUUGCCUCGGCUUGGUGCACUUUCCGGUUGACGGGCCAGCAUCGAUUUUGACCGGCGGAUAAAGGUUCGAGGAAUGUGGCACCCUCGGGUGUGUUAUAGCCUCGGAUUGUAUACGUCGGUUGGGAUCGAGGAACUCAGCUUCGGCUUAGGAUGCUGGCGUAAUGGCUUUAAACGACCCGUCUUGAAACACGGACCAAGGAGUCUAACAUGCCCGCGAGUGUUUGGGUGGUAAACCCAGGCGCGUAAUGAAAGUGAAAGUCGAGACCUCUGUCGUGGAGGGCAUCGACGCCCGGACCUGACCUUCUGUGACGGCUCCGCGGUAGAGCGUGUAUGUUGGGACCCGAAAGAUGGUGAACUAUGCCUGAAUAGGGUGAAGCCAGAGGAAACUCUGGUGGAGGCUCGUAGCGAUUCUGACGUGCAAAUCGAUCGUCAAAUUUGGGUAUAGGGGCGAAAGACUAAUCGAACCAUCUAGUAGCUGGUUCCUGCGAGU